Long non-coding RNA from Lynx canadensis (Canada lynx), 147 nucleotides. RefSeq lists it as uncharacterized. The record is from RefSeq and is a predicted model, not a curated record. NCBI's taxonomy places the organism in Eukaryota, Metazoa, Chordata, Mammalia, Carnivora, Felidae. The transcript is spliced from 2 exons.
UGUAAUUAUACCUGCCUUUGAACCCUAACGAAGGAGAAAUGCCUUUAUAAGCUGACUGACGCCGUGGACGCGAGCAACAUAUCCUGAGAGAGAGACAGAGACAAGCCAUGACUCAGUGAUGAUGGAAAUAAGCCUUGCAAAGUUCAC